UGCCAGCAGCCGCGGUAAUACGGAGACCUCGAGCGUUACUCGGAUUCACUGGGCGUAAAGGGUGCGCAGGCUGUAUGGUAUGUCAGGUGUGAAAUCCCGGGGCUCAACUCCGGAACUGCGCCUGAAACUACCAAACUAGAGACUCGGAGAGGUAAGCGGAACUCCAGGUGUAGCGGUGAAAUGCGUAGAUAUCUGGAAGAACACCAAUGGCGAAGGCAGCUUACUGGACGAGAUCUGACGCUCAUGCACGAAAGCGUGGGGAGCGAAAGGGAUUAGAUA
This 279-nucleotide ribosomal RNA is filed under the name uncultured bacterium. Its description in RNAcentral is "partial 16S ribosomal RNA". It matches the Rfam family "Bacterial small subunit ribosomal RNA", at positions 506 to 784 of the family's 1533-position model. The record is from RNAcentral.